UACGUAGGGAGCAAGCGUUGUUCGGAUUUACUGGGCGUAAAGGGCGCGUAGGCGGCAACUCAAGUCAGCUGUGAAAUCUCCGAGCUUAACUCGGAACGGUCAGCUGAUACUGUUUUGCUAGAGUGCAGAAGGGGCAAUCGGAAUUCUUGGUGUAGCGGUGAAAUGCGUAGAUAUCAAGAGGAACACCUGAGGUGAAGACGGGUUGCUGGGCUGACACUGACGCUGAGGCGCGAAAGCCAGGGGAGCAAACGGG
This 253-nucleotide ribosomal RNA is filed under the name uncultured bacterium. RNAcentral describes it as "partial 16S ribosomal RNA". It matches the Rfam family "Bacterial small subunit ribosomal RNA", at positions 524 to 776 of the family's 1533-position model. The record is from RNAcentral.